UGGGGAAUUUUGCGCAAUGGACGAAAGUCUGACGCAGCGACGCCGCGUGGGUGAUGAAGGCCUUCGGGUUGUAAAGCCCUGUGGGGAGGGAAGAAUAAGGGUAUGUAAAUAGCAUAUCUGAUGACGGUACCUCCUUAGCAAGCACCGGCUAACUCUGUGCCAGCAGCCGCGGUAAGACAGAGGGUGCAAACGUUGUUCGGAAUUACUGGGCGUAAAGCGCGUGUAGGCGGCUAAGCAAGUCGGGUGUGAAAGCCCUUGGCUCAACCGAGGAAGAGCAUUCGAAACUGCGUAGCUUGAGUUCUGGAGAGGAUGGUGGAAUUCUCGGUGUAGAGGUGAAAUUCGUAGAUAUCGAGAGGAACACCUGUGGCGAAGGCGGCCAUCUGGACAGAAACUGACGCUGAGACGCGAAAGCGUGGGUAGCAAACAGG
This 428-nucleotide ribosomal RNA is filed under the name uncultured bacterium. RNAcentral's name for it is "bacterial SSU rRNA". It matches the Rfam family "Bacterial small subunit ribosomal RNA", at positions 355 to 776 of the family's 1533-position model. The record is from RNAcentral.